UAAGACCCACGGUCCCCAUCUGCCCCACAGAUGGUGUGCCCCAGCUCUGCCACUCGAUCAUGUGGGCAACGCGACCCUGGGCCAUGGCAGUGGGCUUGGUCACUUUGUCCUUCAUGGAGCGAGUCACGCCUACAACAGGGUCUACAGCUGAGAAGUGAUACAUGGCUCAGUAAUAUUCUGAGCCCCGGGGAGAGCGGCUCUGUGGCCUUGCUUGCUGUUCUGCUUUCCUCAAGGCAUACUGUAAUUCCAACAUGACAAUGGAUGGGAGCAAAUCUCUGCAGCCAGGCUCCAAACUCCGGUGGAAAGUGGGAAACUAGAAGAGUGGAGGCUGUUAAAGCUCGAGAUGCACCGAUCAAUCGGCCAAUUCCAGUCACAGGUCAGAGAUGCUCAUGGCCACCUAUCAAUCAAAAAUAUUGACCAGAUGCCUCACUCCGUGUAUCCAUCACCCUCUGGCUUGGCUGGCUAGAUCACACAAUCCAUCUACAAAAGUUGUCCAACUCCAGCUGCACUUUGCUACAUCAGCACAAUUAUUGUAAACAAAAAGAGCAGCAGUGUAGAAGAAGAAGACAUCCGGCCUCAAACGACCUCCAUGCUGCGCUGCUCGCUGUCAGCCACUGGCUCGGAUUUGGAGGGAGAUUUGUCGGAGUGAGAGCGGUUGCUGGAAGCUGUUCUUCCAGACAAAAAGGCUCAGGCUUUCAGAGUCUCUGAUGAAGACAGAUUGUGAAAGAAGUCACCCCCAACAUGUUUAUUCUCUCCAGAGGGGAGCAGCCUUUUCUGCAUUAUUUUUUAUUUUAAAUGACAGAGGUAUUAUCAAUCAUUUGACGGUGCUCCGCAUGUAGAUAUUUGCUGCUAAAACCAAAAACACCUCAAACCACAAAUCAACGCGCCCGUUUUUUUGCCUCGCAAAUGUCAUCUGCUUUUAGUUGUGUUGCUGGAAGCAGCUAGAAGUUAGAGCCAUGCCCAAACAUUUCUUCUGUGGUGAGUUUUGGCAAUAUGUCUAGUCCAGGGGUGUCAAACUCACUUUAGUUCAUGGGCCACAUAACACUAAUUUGAUCUCAAGUGGGCCAGACCUUUAAACCACUCCAGAAACUUUAUCUGCCGCAGACUUUCUUGUCAGCUUGAUGUUGGCAAACGCCAAGUUGCUUCUGCUACGACAGCGUUCUAAGGCCAUUGUAGGAAAAACAAUUAUGUUAGGGGAGAGAGGGCUAAUAUUCCGAGAAAAAACUCAGAACUUCUAAGAUUAAAGUCGUAAAUUUACGGAAAAAGAACUCGGAUAUUCUCUGAGAUUUAAGUGGUAAAUUUAGAAUUGGAAUAAAAGACUUCUCUGCAUUUUUUUUUACACUUUGCAAAGUCAUGCAGUGGGCCUGAUUGGACCCUUUGGCAGGCCCGUUCUGGCCCACGGGCCGUAUGUUUGAAGCCCCUGGUCUAGUCGACAACGGUCUACUCUGAAUAAAAAAAGAAGACAGAGAGGUGCUGUUGAAAGCUGCAGAAAAAGCUAGCAAGUGCAGUGAAGAUUUUUAUAUACGAACAUAUCAAACUACUGUUUCCGAGGUCAACUGAAUUCUAAUUCUGGCAUGUUGUUUUUGAAACUAAGGUUAAUUCUGUUGCGGUCUCAGAAAUGUCUUGUUAUUCAUUCACAGUAAAAUAUGCCUAAAGUUGGGUGAGUGUUCCUUAAAGGUCCAGUG
Perca fluviatilis (European perch) is the source of this 1685-nucleotide long non-coding RNA. RefSeq lists it as uncharacterized. The record is from RefSeq and is a predicted model, not a curated record. The transcript has 5 exons. NCBI's taxonomy places the organism in Eukaryota, Metazoa, Chordata, Actinopteri, Perciformes, Percidae.